This 454-nucleotide ribosomal RNA is filed under the name uncultured bacterium. RNAcentral's name for it is "partial 16S ribosomal RNA". It matches the Rfam family "Bacterial small subunit ribosomal RNA", at positions 28 to 507 of the family's 1533-position model. The record is from RNAcentral.
GAUGAACGCUGACAGAAUGCUUAACACAUGCAAGUCAACUUGAACUUCGGUUUGGGUGGCGGACGGGUGAGUAACGCGUAAAGAACUUGCCUCACAGAUAGGGACAACAUUUGGAAACGAAUGCUAAUACCUGAUAUUAUGAUUAUAUGGCAUCGUAUAAUUAUGAAAGCUAUAUGCGCUGUGAGAGAGCUUUGCGUCCCAUAAGCUAGUUGGGGAGGUAACGUCUCACCAAGGCGAUGAUGGGUAGCCGGCCUGAGAGGGUGAUCGGCCACAAGGGGACUGAGACACGGCCCUUGCUCAUACGGGAGGCAGCAGUGGGGAAUAUUGGACAAUGGACCAAGAGUGUGAUCAAGCAAUUCUGUGUGCACGAUGAAGUUUUUCGGAAUGUAAAGUGCUUUCAGUUGGGAAGAAAAAAAUGACGGUACCAGCAGAAGAAGUGACGGCUAAAUACGUG